UUUCCCAUUUGACUCACAUUUUCUCCUAAUAAUAGAUUAUAGGGGCUAUGCUAUGGGGUAGAUUAAAAUUGCCCUGAUUUGAAGAGGGGAGAUGUUUUUGUGUCCUCCUCCUAUAUGAAAUGGCUGAACAGAAAAAA
Molossus molossus (Pallas's mastiff bat) is the source of this 137-nucleotide small nucleolar RNA. RefSeq annotates it as small nucleolar RNA SNORA29. Lineage: Eukaryota; Metazoa; Chordata; Mammalia; Chiroptera; Molossidae. The record is from RefSeq and is a predicted model, not a curated record. The transcript has a single exon.